GCAGGUAAGGUGAUAUGAACCGUUAUAACCGGCGAUACCCGAAUGGGGAAACCCAGUGUGAUUCGUCACACUAUCAUUAACUGAAUCCAUAGGUUAAUGAGGCGAACCGGGGGAACUGAAACAUCUAAGUACCCCGAGGAAAAGAAAUCAACCGAGAUUCCCCCAGUAGCGGCGAGCGAACGGGGAGGAGCCCAGAGCCUGAAUCAGCAUGUGUGUUAGUGGAAGCGUCUGGAAAGGCGCGCGAUACAGGGUGACAGCCCCGUACACAAAAGCGCAUGUGCUGUGAGCUCGAUGAGUAGGGCGGGACACGUGGUAUCCUGUCUGAAUAUGGGGGGACCAUCCUCCAAGGCUAAAUACUCCUGACUGACCGAUAGUGAACCAGUACCGUGAGGGAAAGGCGAAAAGAACCCCGGCGAGGGGAGUGAAAAAGAACCUGAAACCGUGUACGUACAAGCAGUGGGAGCNNNNNNNNNNNNNNNNNNNGGGCGUUAAGUUGCAGGGUAUAGACCCGAAACCCGGUGAUCUAGCCAUGGGCAGGUUGAAGGUUGGGUAACACUAACUGGAGGACCGAACCGACUAAUGUUGAAAAAUUAGCGGAUGACCUGUGGCUGGGGGUGAAAGGCCAAUCAAACCGGGAGAUAGCUGGUUCUCCCCGAAAGCUAUUUAGGUAGCGCCUCGUGAAUUCAUCUCCGGGGGUAGAGCACUGUUUCGGCUAGGGGGCCAUCCCGGCUUACCAACCCGAUGCAAACUGCGAAUACCGGAGAAUGUUAUCACGGGAGACACACGGCGGGUGCUAACGUCCGUCGUGAAGAGGGAAACAACCCAGACCGCCAGCUAAGGUCCCAAAGUCAUGGUUAAGUGGGAAACGAUGUGGGAAGGCCCAGACAGCCAGGAUGUUGGCUUAGAAGCAGCCAUCAUUUAAAGAAAGCGUAAUAGCUCACUGGUCGAGUCGGCCUGCGCGGAAGAUGUAACGGGGCUAAACCAUGCACCGAAGCUGCGGCAGCGANNNNNNNNNNNNNNNNNNNNNNNNNUGCUGGAGGUAUCAGAAGUGCGAAUGCUGACAUAAGUAACGAUAAAGCGGGUGAAAAGCCCGCUCGCCGGAAGACCAAGGGUUCCUGUCCAACGUUAAUCGGGGCAGGGUGAGUCGACCCCUAAGGCGAGGCCGAAAGGCGUAGUCGAUGGGAAACGGGUUAAUAUUCCCGUACUUGGUGUUACUGCGAAGGGGGGACGGAGAAGGCUAUGUUGGCCGGGCGACGGUUGUCCCGGUUUAAGCGUGUAGGUGUGUGUUCCAGGUAAAUCCGGUUCACUUUAACACUGAGGCGUGACGACGAGGCACUACGGUGCUGAAGCAACAAAUGCCCUGCUUCCAGGAAAAGCCUCUAAGCAUCAGGUAACACGAAAUCGUACCCCAAACCGACACAGGUGGUCAGGUAGAGAAUACCAAGGCGCUUGAGAGAACUCGGGUGAAGGAACUAGGCAAAAUGGUGCCGUAACUUCGGGAGAAGGCACGCUGACACGUAGGUGAAGUGAUUUACUCAUGGAGCUGAAGUCAGUCGAAGAUACCAGCUGGCUGCAACUGUUUAUUAAAAACACAGCACUGUGCAAACACGAAAGUGGACGUAUACGGUGUGACGCCUGCCCGGUGCCGGAAGGUUAAUUGAUGGGGUCAGCGCAAGCGAAGCUCCUGAUCGAAGCCCCGGUAAACGGCGGCCGUAACUAUAACGGUCCUAAGGUAGCGAAAUUCCUUGUCGGGUAAGUUCCGACCUGCACGAAUGGCGUAAUGAUGGCCAGGCUGUCUCCACCCGAGACUCAGUGAAAUUGAACUCGCUGUGAAGAUGCAGUGUACCCGCGGCAAGACGGAAAGACCCCGUGAACCUUUACUAUAGCUUGACACUGAACAUUGAGCCUUGAUGUGUAGGAUAGGUGGGAGGCUUUGAAGUGUGGACGCCAGUCUGCAUGGAGCCGACCUUGAAAUACCACCCUUUAAUGUUUGAUGUUCUAACGUGGACCCGUAAUCCGGGUUGCGGACAGUGUCUGGUGGGUAGUUUGACUGGGGCGGUCUCCUCCUAAAGAGUAACGGAGGAGCACGAAGGUUGGCUAAUCCUGGUCGGACAUCAGGAGGUUAGUGCAAUGGCAUAAGCCAGCUUGACUGCGAGCGUGACGGCGCGAGCAGGUGCGAAAGCAGGUCAUAGUGAUCCGGUGGUUCUGAAUGGAAGGGCCAUCGCUCAACGGAUAAAAGGUACUCCGGGGAUAACAGGCUGAUACCGCCCAAGAGUUCAUAUCGACGGCGGUGUUUGGCACCUCGAUGUCGGCUCAUCACAUCCUGGGGCUGAAGUAGGUCCCAAGGGUAUGGCUGUUCGCCAUUUAAAGUGGUACGCGAGCUGGGUUUAGAACGUCGUGAGACAGUUCGGUCCCUAUCUGCCGUGGGCGCUGGAGAACUGAGGGGGGCUGCUCCUAGUACGAGAGGACCGGAGUGGACGCAUCACUGGUGUUCGGGUUGUCAUGCCAAUGGCACUGCCCGGUAGCUAAAUGCGGAAGAGAUAAGUGCUGAAAGCAUCUAAGCACGAAACUUGCCCCGAGAUGAGUUCUCCCUGAGACUU
RNAcentral lists this ribosomal RNA (2600 nucleotides) under Salmonella enterica subsp. enterica serovar Typhimurium. RNAcentral describes it as "bacterial LSU rRNA". It matches the Rfam family "Bacterial large subunit ribosomal RNA". The record is from RNAcentral. Lineage: Bacteria; Pseudomonadati; Pseudomonadota; Gammaproteobacteria; Enterobacterales; Enterobacteriaceae.